Non-coding RNA from Xylaria sp. CBS 124048, 131 nucleotides. The record is from the annotation of a GenBank genome assembly. Lineage: Eukaryota; Fungi; Ascomycota; Sordariomycetes; Xylariales; Xylariaceae.
UCUCGAUUGGUCUAGUGGCUAGGAUACCUGCUUGUCAUUGAAUCCCACUCGGCGCCAUCACGAUAGUGAUGGGCACGGGGUGUUCUUGGAACAAGCCGCAGGUGGCCGGGGUUCGAUUCCCCGAUCGAGAG